This 549-nucleotide ribosomal RNA is filed under the name Triticum aestivum (bread wheat). RNAcentral's name for it is "partial small subunit ribosomal RNA". Lineage: Eukaryota; Viridiplantae; Streptophyta; Magnoliopsida; Poales; Poaceae. The record is from RNAcentral.
AUGAAGCCAAUGUUUCAAUUGAUCUUGACUUACAGGGGUGAUGACAUAUUCGUGCGUGUGUGCAUGUAUUUCUCCGCCACAAACAGUUGGAGUGCCCCCAUCAAGUGUUGCAAGGGCAUAAAUGCCGCUAUAUCACAUGAGUUAUUUAGUAGGAUUUCGAUCAAAGUUAACAAUAGCUUGCCGUGGUCUUGGCCACGACCACCAAUCCCAUUCAUUGCCGAAGAAGGAAAGCUUUCGUUUGUUAAUAUCCAACACCAUGGCUUGCUAGAGCUUUGCACCAAGAAUCAACAAGAGUGCGGUAAUCUUAACCAUGAGUGCGACGAUGAAUGGCUACACUCUCAGCUCAUGGAUCUUGGGAGCGAAAGGAUAGAUCUUGUUUUCUUUGCAGAAGCAAGGGUGCUUUGCUCAUCAAGCAAGGCAGCGCCUUCUUCACAAUCGACCUCAAGAGUAAGAAAAAAAUCGUUGAUUAAGCUCAAUGAAGAUGAAAUAGAGCAUGUCAGGGGCGCGAGGGUGUUUAAAUUAGGAUAUUGUACUAGUAGUAGUUGUUGA